RNAcentral lists this ribosomal RNA (708 nucleotides) under Exophiala dermatitidis. Its description in RNAcentral is "eukaryotic LSU rRNA". It matches the Rfam family "Eukaryotic large subunit ribosomal RNA", at positions 107 to 831 of the family's 3401-position model. The record is from RNAcentral. Lineage: Eukaryota; Fungi; Ascomycota; Eurotiomycetes; Chaetothyriales; Herpotrichiellaceae.
GCUCAAAUUUGAAAUCUGGCCUCUUUGGGGUCCGAGUUGUAAUUUGUAGAGGAUGUUUCGGGCACCGCUCCGGUUUAAAUUUCUUGGAACAGAAUGUCAAAGAGGGUGAGAACCCCGUCUUGGACCGGCAGUAGGGCCCAUGUGAAACUCCUUCGACGAGUCGAGUUGUUUGGGAAUGCAGCUCAAAAUGGGUGGUAAAUUUCAUCUAAAGCUAAAUAUUGGCCAGAGACCGAUAGCGCACAAGUAGAGUGAUCGAAAGAUGAAAAGCACUUUGAAAAGAGAGUUAAACAGUACGUGAAAUUGUUGAAAGGGAAGCGCUUGCAACCAGACUUGCGCGCGGCGGUUCCCCCUUCCUUUUGGUUGGGUUAUUCCGCCGUGUCCAGGCCAACAUCGGUUCUGGGGGUCGGUUAAAGGCCUGGGGAAUGUAUCUACCCUUCGGGCGUAGACUUAUAGCCCCGGGUGUCAUGCGACCUCCCGGGACCGAGGAACGCGCUUCGGCUCGGAUGUUGGCGUAAUGGUUGUCAGCGACCCGUCUUGAAACACGGACCAAGGAGUCUAACAUCUAUGCGAGUGUUUGGGUGUCAAACCCGGAACGCGGAAUGAAAGUGAACGGAGGUAGGAAGCUUCGGCUGCACUAUCGACCGAUCCUGAUGUCUUCGGAUGGAUUUGAGUAAGAGCAUAGCUGUUGGGACCCGAAAGAUGGUGAAC